This 404-nucleotide ribosomal RNA is filed under the name uncultured prokaryote. Its description in RNAcentral is "bacterial SSU rRNA". It matches the Rfam family "Bacterial small subunit ribosomal RNA", at positions 355 to 776 of the family's 1533-position model. The record is from RNAcentral. RNAcentral also lists the same sequence under 1 other name.
UGGGGGAUAUUGCACAAUGGGGGAAACCCUGAUGCAGCGACGCCGCGUGAGGGAAGAAGGUUUUCGGAUUGUAAACCUCUGUCUUCAGGGACGAUAAUGACGGUACCUGAGGAGGAAGCCACGGCUAACUACGUGCCAGCAGCCGCGGUAAUACGUAGGUGGCAAGCGUUGUCCGGAAUUACUGGGUGUAAAGGGAGCGUAGGCGGGUAUGCAAGUUGAAUGUGAAAUCUAUCGGCUCAACCGAUAGGCUGCGUUCAAAACUGUAUAUCUUGAGUGAAGUAGAGGUAGGCGGAAUUCCUGGUGUAGCGGUGAAAUGCGGAGAUAUCAGGAGGAACACCGGUGGCGAAGGCGGCCUACUGGGCUUUUACUGACGCUGAGGCUCGAAAGCAUGGGUAGCAAACAGG